Molecule: ribosomal RNA, 267 nt
Filed under: uncultured bacterium
Lineage: Bacteria
Description: partial 16S ribosomal RNA
Rfam family: Bacterial small subunit ribosomal RNA
Source: RNAcentral
GACAGAGGUGCCGAGCGUUAGGCGGAAUCACUGGGCUUAAAGCGUGUGUAGGCGGACCCGUCAGUGUCUUGUGAAAUCCCACGGCUCAACCGUGGAACGGCUGGGCAUACUGCGGGUCUUGAGAGACCUAGGGCGAGCGGAACAGGCGGUGGAGCGGUGAAAUGCGUAGAUAUCGCCUGGAACGCCGACGGUGAAAACAGCUCGCUGGGGGUCUUCUGACGCUGAGACACGAAAGCCAGGGGAGCGAACGGGAUUAAGAUGACCCGA